Molecule: non-coding RNA, 235 nt
Filed under: Clostridium sp.
Lineage: Bacteria; Bacillati; Bacillota; Clostridia; Eubacteriales; Clostridiaceae
Description: T-box sequence
Rfam family: T-box leader
About the family: Uncharged tRNA acts as the effector for transcription antitermination of genes in the T-box leader family.
Source: RNAcentral
AUUAAAUCAUUGAAGCGAAGUAAGUAGGCUUAAAAACAAAUUUUCAGAGAGUGGUAGAGGGUGGAAUUACCAUAGUUAUGCUUAAGCUGAAUGGGUCGUGGAGAGGAAGGAUGAAUUAAAGUAGUCUUUCACGUGUUUCUCACGUUAUAGAGAUAGGAUAUAAUCGUAUCUGAAAGAGAAAACUAUACAUUAUAGUUUUAAAAUUAGGUGGUACCGCGUACUUUACGCCCUAUGG